This 5352-nucleotide long non-coding RNA is filed under the name Capsicum annuum. RNAcentral describes it as "long non-coding RNA (CANN_LNC000212)". Lineage: Eukaryota; Viridiplantae; Streptophyta; Magnoliopsida; Solanales; Solanaceae. The record is from RNAcentral.
UUACAAUCUCUAUGAAUCCUCUGAUUCGCCUUUUUGAAUAUAAAUUCAAGGGCUUAAAGCUUAGUUUUGAAUUUGAAUUUGAUUUGAUAGACUUGAGGGACUUGAUCUUGACUUGUACUUGAAUUCAAGAGCUUUUGAGCUUGUUCUUGAAUAUUGCGGUCUUGAUCUUGAACUUUGAUAAACUUGAUUUGAAUGUUUGAGAUUUUUAGAGAAAUUGCGGCGUUUGAUCCAUGAGCUUUCUCUUGCUACUUGUUAGAGUUCUGGGGUCUCUCUUCUGAAUUAUGAGACCCCUAUUUAUAGUUGUAGGAAAGGAAGAGUUGUGAUGAAUAUGGACUUCCUUUGACCAAUCAGAUUUAAGUGAUGUGGCCCUUUUUAUGGGCUUUUAUUUCAUGGGCCUGCUGCAUCAGUUUGACAUGUGGCACGGUCCUAUUGGCUGCUUCACUUGACUUGGCAUGCCACGUCAUUUGACACGUGGCGCUUAUUUGGACCUCUAGAAUAUGACAAUAUUCUUGGACUUAGCAAAGUGGGCUCAUUAUUAAUAGCCCAAAUUAAUUGGCUAGCCCAAUAAAAAUUGAACUUUAAUUAAAUCCAUAUAUGUUUGGACUUAAAUAAUUAAUCUAAUUAUAUUAAUCCACAAUAUUUAUUUAGAACUACUUGUAGACAUCUAAUUUUGUCGCUCUCAAGUCCAAUUUAUCCAUUUUUUACCUUUUGAUAUUAUACACCCUCAUACAUGUGAUUAUACCCCACAAAAAUACAACAAUUCCUAACAAAUCAAAUCCCUCAUAUUCUCUUAUCCUAACAACCUACCCAAUUAAAAUAAACCACAUCAUACCCUGCCCCUACCCCUACCCCCACCUCACUACCCCACCUACCCUUCCCCACUACCACAUAAUUCUCAUUCUGACCAGAAAACCAUCAACACACCUCACAGCAUACAUACACACACAAUAUCCACGCACAGGACCAGAAUAUUCACGCAUCAUCCUCAUCGGAACUCCAUUCUUCACACACAUCUAUCACCGAACAUACAAACCCAAUAAUAAAAAAAUGAUAGAAUUUAGGGAGGAAGAGAAUCGGAACGGAGAGCAACACAGUGAAGAAAAAGAGCGAAAUCGAGGAACUGAAAUAGAGAAGUAAAUCGAAAGGGAGAAAGAGAUCGAGGGAGGGAGAACAAAAGGAGGAUCAUCUUCUUCCUUUUUCCAAGGAAGAAGCUCCAUUUUUGGGUUUCAUUUUUGAUUCAUCAAGAACAAUACACACACACUACAUAGUAAAGGAGGGAAAGGAAAUUUGAACGAGAGUGAAUCGAGAGAAGAUAAACAAAGAGAGGGAUGACAGGAAAAUGAUGUGAGAGAUAGAGAUCGGGGUGACCGAAGAAGGAGAAAUUGAGACAGAUCGAAGAAAGAGAGAGUGAAAAUAAGAAGAGAGAGAGAGAACUGGUGGUGGUAGACUGUUCCGGCGAUUCGCCGCCGGAAAAAGUGUCAUCGCAGCUCAAAAUUUGAUCCAAUUUUUUUAGUUCUAUUCCUUCUGAUCUCGUCAGAGUUCGUCAGCUCCGUCCCAUUUCGGGUAACGCUGAAACGGACGACCCAGGUCAUAAAUCCCAAAAUUUUCCAAUUUUUUUGGUGGUUUCUAGGCUAACCCGGCCGGAAAACACUAGAAGUCACCGGAAUCAGCCUUUCUCGUUGACAUUCGCGACUGUUCGAGUUCAUCAAAACUCCGGGCAUGUAGUUUUCUUGGUUUUCUUGUGAUUCUCAUUUUUUUGGGUUCACUGUUCGUCGUGGUUUCAGGAAUUCGAAUUGGAUUUUGAAGACUAUCAGGUUGGAGUUGGAUCAUAGUUGAGAUUGUGGUAUUCUUCGAGGCUCCAGGACGGCUCUUAUUUCUCUUCUUAAAUCAAUCAAAAUCUUUUGAGGUCUAAUUCUAUUCUUUUCCUCUUUUAUUUCUCAUUGUUUACUAUAUUUGAUGUGUUGGACUUAAUAUCGUGUGUUGACUUGAUCCCUGUUGGUGAUGAAUGUAUGUUUGUUUUGAUUCUUGGUUGGUCCCUUGAUUAUGGUUUGUAUGGUGAAAUGGUCUCUCGUUUGAGAAAUAAAAUUUGUUAUUUGGGGCGCGAAUUGAAAAAAUUGCUAAAGUGAAUUAGGAUUAAUUUUGAUUUAUUGUUGUUUUGAUUCAUGGACGCCGUCGAUCGUGAUAGUGCCAUGAUAGGUCAAGUUGGGUAGGCAAACAGUAGGCUUGGGUAGGCAAAGUUUAGUAUCUGUGAUUGUUGAAUGAUGAAAUAUUUGUGGAGUGGUUUUGAUUUAUGCAUUGAGAUCUAUUGUAUUCAUUUGGCCGGGGAAUGUCCUGAGAGAUUUGUAUUCAUUUAUCCGAGGAAUGCCCCGAAGUAUCAUGUGCUUGAAGACGGCGCACGAUCAAGGCCCGGAACGUUGGGUGGAGAAAGCAAUGGAGCGUAGUUAGGAUUAGCCUAGAAUAGAGUAGGUUUAUAUUUCCGUAUCUUUUUAUUUCGAGACUGUAUAAUUGGACUGAACACUAAAUUUUGGAUUGUUUUAUUUUGUUUUGCUUGAUUGAUUGUUUUGUGUGCCUUGUGUGGUUUAUACAUUCGUAGUGUCAAAUUAGCCGAUAUGCUCCACCAAACGACCGUAGUCUAACCACGGGAUCAAGGGGUGCCUAACACCUUCCCCUCAGUCAACAGAAUUCCUUAGUCGGAAUCUCCGUUCGCAAAUUAGUUUUACAGAGUCGAAAUUAUUUUUGAAAAAGGAUGUCCAUAGGUGACUUGGCACACCCGAUUUAUGCUAAGUGGCGACUCUGAGUUUUGAGUGUAAAUAAUCCUUUUCGAAAAUAAUUUUCAUCUUUCGUCACUUUAAUAAUAAAACCCUUUCGAACCAUGAAAUUAAUCUUUUGGAGUACGAAAAAGGGGUGUGACACUACUAUAUUUUGAAUUUAAUAUUCCGAAUUUUGUACGGAUUUAAAUUUAAUAAAAUUGCAUCGCCCACAAAUGCCUUCUACUUCAAGACUUGUCGACACAUUUAAUAUUUUGGAGACUAGCCUUGAAGUAUGAUUAUUUAAGCAUGUUUCCUUUGUGUUUCAACGAUCCUCAUACCUAUGAAUACCACAUUCAAAAAUUUAAAGUCGAACUAUAUUGAUAUUGCCUCUCAUAACUCUCUCAUUUUUUCUACGAAUCUCUACACUUAAGACCCAUUGGUGAGGCAUGAUAUUCAAUUUCAAACAGAUUUUCGAAGACUUUUUUAUCGCCUUACUUAAUCAUGAAUAAAAAUCUUCCGAUUUGAACUUAGAUUGGAGAAGGAAACAACCUCCAAUUUGGCUUUGUAUGGGAGAAAGAAACAAUCUUUGAUUUGAAUUUGUAUGGAAGAAGGAAAUAACCCCCAAUUUGAAUUUGUAUGGGAAAAGAAAANNNNNNNNNNNNNNNNNNNNNNNNNNNNNNNNNNNNNNNNNNNNNNNNNNNNNNNNNNNNNNNNNCAUCGCCCACAAAUGCCCCCUACUUCAAGACUUGUCGAGACAUUUAAUAUUUUGGAGACUAGCCUUGAAGUAUAAUUAUUUAAGCAUGUUUCCUUCAUGUUUCAACGAUCCUUAUAUCUAUAAAUACCACAUUCAAAAAUUUAAAGCCGAACCAUAUUGAUAUUGCCUCUCAUAACUCUCUCAUUUUUUCUACGAAUCUCUACACUUAAGACCCAUUGGUGAGGCAUGAUAUUCAAUUUCAAACAGAUUUUCGAAGACUUUUUUAUCGCCUUACUUAAUCAUGAAUAAAAAUCUUCCGAUUUGAACUUAGAUUGGAGAAGGAAACAACCUCCAAUUUGGCUUUGUAUGGGAGAAAGAAACAAUCUUUGAUUUGAAUUUGUAUGGAAGAAGGAAAUAACCCCCAAUUUGAAUUUGUAUGGGAAAAGAAAAAAAUCCCCAAUUUGAAUUUGUAUGGGAAAAGAAAACAAUCUCUAAUUUGAAUUUAGGGAUAGAAAUUAUUUCAAUCUGAAUUUAAAUUGGAGAAGAAAACAAUCUCCAAUUUGAAUUUAGAGAUGAAAACUAUUCCAAUCUGAAUUUAUAUUGGAGAAGGAAACAAUCUCCAAUUUGAAUUUGGAGAUGGAAAUUAUUCCAAUCUGAAUUUAUAUUGAAAAAGGAAACAAUCUCCAAUUUGAAUUUGGAGAUUGAAAUUAUUCCAAUCUGAAUUUAUAUUGGAGAAGGAAACAUCCAUCCUACAAAUCUAUAAAAGGAGGUAGUUUCUCUACUUUUUCAAUAUCAAUUUUGGGGUUUUCAAGCCAUCAACAAUAUUGAGGUAAUUUCUUUUCCUCCUACUUUUCUCUUAUUUUCGUCACUUUUUUUUCAGCACAGCAUGUUGGUGGUAGAAAAUUCAUAUCUAAUUGUAGGAAUAUCGAAAUCAUGAACCGUUUGAUAUUACAGAAACUAGACUUCAAGAUAUAUAACAUAUCCAAAAUUCAGCUUCAAAUUCUUUCAAUAUAAUUCUCGAUAAUUUUUUGAAGUUAGCCCUGAAUUUUAUCAUGAUAAAAAUUUCAGAUCUGCGUGACUUUACUAAACCUUUCAUAUCUUGAAGUAGAAAAGAUGAAAUCACAAGCUGCUUAAUUCUUGUGAAACUAGACACAAAGAUCUAUAAUAUAUCCAAAAUUCAUAAUUUAAUACAAUUGAAAUAUUUUCAGGUGUUAUCCCAAAAUUAACAUUGAGUUUUGAUGCAUCAACAAUUUCAGAUUUACGCGACAUCAUCAAAAAAAUUAUAUCUCAAUGUGAGAGUAUUGAAAUUAUGAUCCGCUUAAUCCUACAGAUGCCGGAAACAUGCAUGUAUAACAUAUCAAAAAUUUAGAUUUUAACACCUUUUUUAUUGGUCUAGAUGAUUUUUUUGAUGUCCAUCUUGACAGAGGAUUCCAGAUUUGCAUUGCCUCACCAAAUAAUUUAUUUCUUGAUGUGGGACCAUCACCACCAAAGGGCGUUUUUAUUUCCUCAAACCAGAUUUUGAGGAAUUUAUUCUCAUCAAGGCAUCUUAUCUCAAUCGAAGUUGGUGAUAUACAACUUUUAAGAUCACAACGCUUUGAUAGGUAACAUCCUUUCUAUUUGUAUUUUUGCUUUCUUUCUUGUUUCUUCUCUUUUUUUUUUUUUUGGAGAAUUGAAACAGAUAGCAAUAUGAAAUAAUCGGCUUAGGGUGCGAGAGUUUAACUUCGCCUCCAUCGUGGACAUCGGCUUAAGGUGCGAGAGUUUAACUUCGCCUCCAUCACCUUAAGUCCGACCAAUUUUACUUGAAGAUGGUGGACAUCGGCUUAAGGUGCGAGAGUUUAACUUCGCCUCCGUUACCUUAAGUCCGACCAAUUUUACUUGAAGAUGGUGGACAUCGGCUUAAGGUGCGAG